Molecule: long non-coding RNA, 610 nt
Organism: Perca fluviatilis (European perch)
Lineage: Eukaryota; Metazoa; Chordata; Actinopteri; Perciformes; Percidae
Exons: 4
Source: RefSeq, a predicted model, not a curated record
CAGUCACACAUCAAAAACAUUACAGCCAGACAGCAGCAACAAGUGUGUCACAGCUGUAGAGUGCUGCCAUGGGAUUCAACAGAACAUUGUUUAUUAUUUUGUCAUUUUUCUUCAUCUUUUUAGGCUCAUCUGUCUACAUUUCAGGCCGACCAGUGUCUUACAACACUGGCAACAACAGAAACAUCAGUUGCGAUGAAGAGAGAAUAGGUGCGGAGAAUCAGUACAAUGUUAAAGAUGAUACUGAAAAAAAAAUUUCUCUGGGUAACAUCAGCAACAUUCAUAUUUCUGGAACAAACCACGGAUGCAUUGGAGGAAGGAAUAACUACACUGUGACAGGACAGAUUGCAGCCAAGUCCAAUAUUGGCAACGUCAGUAAUGUUACUGUUGGUAACAACUCGGGAUCAAUUGGUUCAGGGAACCGCAUUAACAUUAGCUGAGCUUUUCGUCUCUCUUGGGAAAUUGCUCUCCGACAGAUCGUGAACCACUCAGCUUAGACUGAUGUCUUAUAAUGGAAAUCUUACAACACAAGAAUAGAAAUGAGAGAUUCAUGCUUUGAAAUCAGAUUCAAGAUUCAUCAGCUUCAAUAUUAAAGAAACUAAAGUCAAUAUGC